CCUACGGGAGGCAGCAGUGAGGAAUAUUGGGCAAUGGACUCAACUCUGACCCAGCCAUGCCGCGUGAGUGAAGAAUGCCCUCGGGUUGUUAAGCCCCUUCGGACGUGACGAUGCUGACGGUAGCAUCUACCGAAGCCCCGGCUAACUUCGUGCCAGCAGCCGCGGUCAUACGUAGGUGGCAAGCGGUAUUCGGAUUUAUUGGGCGUAAAGGGAACGCAGGCGGUCUUUUAAGUUUGAUGUGAAAGCCUCCGGCUUAACCGGAGUAGUGCAGUGGACACUGGGGGUCUUGAGUGCAGAAGAGGAGAGUGGAACGCGAGGUGUAGCGGUGAAAUGCGUAGAUAUAUGGAAGAACACCAGUGGCGAAGGCGGCUCACUGGUCUGUAACUGACGCUGAGGUACGAAAGCGUGGGUAGCGAACAGGAUUAGAUACCCGAGUAGUC
This 440-nucleotide ribosomal RNA is filed under the name uncultured bacterium. Its description in RNAcentral is "partial 16S ribosomal RNA". It matches the Rfam family "Bacterial small subunit ribosomal RNA", at positions 338 to 795 of the family's 1533-position model. The record is from RNAcentral.